CUCCCCUUACCCCUUACCGGGAGCCUGCUUCCAGCCGGGACCCAGCCGGCACAACAGCUCCCCUUAUCCCUUACCAGGAGCCUCUUCCAGCCGGGACCCAGCCGGCACAACAGCUCACCUCACCCCUUACCGGGAGCCUCUUCCAGCCGGGACCCAGCCGGCACAACAGCUCCCCUCAUCCCUUACCAGGAGCCUCUUCCAGCCGGGACCCAGCCGGCACAACAGCUCACCUCAUCCCUUACCGGGAGCCUCUUCCAGCCGGGACCCAGCCGGCACAAAGGGAGCGAGCUACAGCUCGGGGCUGCAGUUUGCCCUCUGCACGGGUGGAAAUAGCGCACAGUGCGUCGGGACUUCGGCCUUCCAGAAAACUCUCGCUUCAGAAAGGACUUACAGAAACAUCGCUCACGACAAUGAAAGGCCUCACUGCCCUUCUUCCUCGCUGAACAAAAGGAAUCAAAGUCUAUGAAGCUGCCCAGGUGUUGAGCAGUCAUUUCAAGCUUCGGCCUGAAUUAUAUUCAUGGUAUAACACAUCCCACUCCGGACUUGUGCACGUUGGCAAGUCUCUAGUUUGGUUCCAUCUUAGCAUACAGCUCAAAAGAAUAAGGGAGUUACUACUGCAGUGAUGCAGACACAUUGAAAGCUAUCUUCAAGUCAGGGACAGAAGAUCUGCACAGAGAUGUAUCAUGACAGGACAAGAGCCAGCAGUAAUUGCUGCAGAAGAAAUUCCAUCUGCACAUAUGAACAAAACUCUUUCCCUUGAGAACAAUUAACACAGGGAAAGUUUUCCCACAGAACUGGUAGAAUGCACCUCACUCAAAUUACCCAGGUUUAACUGGAUAAUUCAAUCUGUGAUGCUGCCUUUAAUUAGGGACUGGAACAGAAGAUCCCCCAGAAGUUCUUUCCAACCUAGAUUGUUCUGUGACUCAGUGCAGUUACACCACACAACCCAGUACCAUGCUGAGAAGCUUAGACACUACUCCAAGCCAGCUGCAACAUACACAUGGGCAGUAAGACACACUUAACAGGUAAUACCGCAGGUUGGAAUUAACAUGUUGUUAGCAGGGAAAAUUAUUCUGCUUUUUACAGCUUCCAGCUCCAGAGCCAGCUUAUUAGGUGCUUCAAACUUGCCAGUGUACCUCUGAUGUUUUAGACAGACUUUAGUUUUCUGCACAUCAUUCAGUCCCAGUAAAGAGGAGUAAAGCAAAGCCAUUCUUUAUACAGACCACAGAGAAACUAACCUGAAGGCCACAGUCAACAUGCAAGCAGAAACUUGAUGCUACUAUUUAAU
Molecule: non-coding RNA, 1288 nt
Organism: Cyanistes caeruleus (blue tit)
Lineage: Eukaryota; Metazoa; Chordata; Aves; Passeriformes; Paridae
Source: RefSeq, a predicted model, not a curated record